UUUAAUCUCCAACAGAUAUAUUAAUUGAUUUAUUAAUUUUUUUUACCAAGAUAAAGUAAAUCGCAACCAUAGUUUCAUAAAAUAAUUUAUUUAAAAAUCAUACAUAAAUAUAUAUACUACACAGAUAUGAUACACCGUUAAGAUGGUCCCUCCUAACAUACCCGAUCUGAAACGCAAGGAAAACCAUUAUUGGAUGAGGAAAGUAAAUAAUAAUAUGGGAUAUUGUUUCAUUGUUUUGUUGAUUGAAUAGAAUUAGGAACUGCCAUUGAUUUUGCAUUGAUUUUACCUUGCAGGUCAAUUUGGCCUAUUUUAGAUUUUAAUGAAUACUGAGCACAUAUUAACUAUUUGUUUAUUUUGUUCAAAUCAUAAGGAUCAAUAAAUAAAUAGUGAUAAGAAUGUUAAUGUCAAUCUGGUCUGUCAUUUUUUUUUUGUAAAUUAUUGUUGCUAAACCAUGGCCUCAAGUUAUAGAUUGCUCCAUAGUUGCAAAUUACUUAAACCAAUGUUGGUACCAGAUAGUACCCAGUAGUUAAACCCAGCAUGUCAACACCUAGGUACUUGACAGAUAAAUGCAUUCCUUAAAAUUUGGAGGGAACUGACAAUCCUAUUUUUAAUAGAUUCAUUCUUUAUCUGGUUCUAGAGUAUGACAGAUAGUUUCGCUUAAUGCGGAUGUGAAAAGGUAGACCCUAUCUUAGCCUAAUUUUUUUUGUAGUUACUAGUAUGUGCUAGGAUAGCUUAAUUGCUGAUUUUCUAAGUAGGCCUAAGAGUUUAUAGGGCUCCUUGUUUUUGUUGUGUUAAAUAAACCCCAGAAAAGGCCACAUUCCAUCUUCGGCCUUCCUGUACCUUCUGCUUAUCCUCUGCUUCUGCUUUUGCUGCAUUUUUAUUGUUACUGCUUCCACCUCACUUGCUACUCCACGUGUUACCACAUCAAGUCGCUUGGAUCAUCACCUCCGGAACCUGCAUUCCUCCCAAUCGGC
This 974-nucleotide long non-coding RNA is filed under the name Anthonomus grandis grandis. Its description in RNAcentral is "uncharacterized LOC126742985". The record is from RNAcentral. Lineage: Eukaryota; Metazoa; Arthropoda; Insecta; Coleoptera; Curculionidae.